AUUGAACGCUGGCGGCAGGCCUAACACAUGCAAGUCGAGCGGAUGAAGGGAGCUUGCUCCUGGAUUCAGCGGCGGACGGGUGAGUAAUGCCUAGGAAUCUGCCUGGUAGUGGGGGAUAACGUCCGGAAACGGGCGCUAAUACCGCAUACGUCCUGAGGGAGAAAGUGGGGGAUCUUCGGACCUCACGCUAUCAGAUGAGCCUAGGUCGGAUUAGCUAGUUGGUGGGGUAAAGGCCUACCAAGGCGACGAUCCGUAACUGGUCUGAGAGGAUGAUCAGUCACACUGGAACUGAGACACGGUCCAGACUCCUACGGGAGGCAGCAGCGGGGAAUAUUGGACAAUGGGCGAAAGCCUGAGCCAGCCAUGCCGCGUGUGUGAAGAAGGUCUUCGGAUUGUAAAGCACUUUAAGUUGGGAGGAAGGGCAGUAAGUUAAUACCUUGCUGUUUUGACGUUACCAACAGAAUAAGCACCGGCUAACUGCGU
Molecule: ribosomal RNA, 483 nt
Filed under: uncultured bacterium
Lineage: Bacteria
Description: partial 16S ribosomal RNA
Rfam family: Bacterial small subunit ribosomal RNA
Source: RNAcentral